UAUGUGCGUGGUGCUGCUUUGGUAC
Molecule: non-coding RNA, 25 nt
Filed under: Rattus norvegicus (Norway rat)
Lineage: Eukaryota; Metazoa; Chordata; Mammalia; Rodentia; Muridae
Source: RNAcentral